GGGCGGGUGUUGAAAUUGGCAGACAAGAUAGACUUAGGAUCUAUUGGGAUUUUUCCCGUGAGGGUUCGAGUCCCUCCUCGCCCA
RNAcentral lists this transfer RNA (84 nucleotides) under Candidatus Poribacteria bacterium. RNAcentral describes it as "tRNA-Leu". It matches the Rfam family "tRNA". From Rfam's summary of the family: Transfer RNA (tRNA) molecules are approximately 80 nucleotides in length. Their secondary structure includes four short double-helical elements and three loops (D, anti-codon, and T loops). Further hydrogen bonds mediate the characteristic L-shaped molecular structure. tRNAs have two regions of fundamental functional importance: the anti-codon, which is responsible for specific mRNA codon recognition, and the 3' end, to which the tRNAs corresponding amino acid is attached (by aminoacyl-tRNA synthetases). tRNAs cope with the degeneracy of the genetic code in two manners: having more than one tRNA (with a specific anti-codon) for a particular amino acid; and 'wobble' base-pairing, i.e. permitting non-standard base-pairing at the 3rd anti-codon position. Lineage: Bacteria; Candidatus Poribacteria. The record is from RNAcentral.